RNAcentral lists this ribosomal RNA (468 nucleotides) under uncultured bacterium. RNAcentral describes it as "partial 16S ribosomal RNA". It matches the Rfam family "Bacterial small subunit ribosomal RNA", at positions 28 to 507 of the family's 1533-position model. The record is from RNAcentral.
GACGAACGCUGGCGGCGUGCUUAACACAUGCAAGUCGAACGGAAAGGCCCUGCUUUUGUGGGGUGCUCGAGUGGCGAACGGGUGAGUAACACGUGAGUAACCUGCCCUUGACUUUGGGAUAACUUCAGGAAACUGGGGCUAAUACCGGAUAGGAGCUCCUGCUGCAUGGUGGGGGUUGGAAAGUUUCGGCGGUUGGGGAUGGACUCGCGGCUUAUCAGCUUGUUGGUGGGGUAGUGGCUUACCAAGGCUUUGACGGGUAGCCGGCUUGAGAGGGUGACCGGCCACAUUGGGACUGAGAUACGGCCCAGACUCCUACGGGAGGCAGCAGUGGGGAAUAUUGCACAAUGGGCGGAAGCCUGAUGCAGCAACGCCGCGUGCGGGAUGACGGCCUUCGGGUUGUAAACCGCUUUCGCCUGUGACGAAGCGUGAGUGACGGUAAUGGGAAAAGAAGCACCGGCUAACUACGUG